GAUGAACGCUGGCGGCGUGCCUAAUACAUGCAAGUCGAGCGAACAGACGAGGAGCUUGCUCCUCUGACGUUAGCGGCGGACGGGUGAGUAACACGUGGAUAACCUACUUAUAAGACUGGGAUAACUUCGGGAAACCGGAGCUAAUACCGGAUAAUAUAUUGAACCGCAUGGUUCAAUAGUGAAAGACGGUUUUGCUGUCACUUAUAGAUGGAUCCGCGCCGCAUUAGCUAGUUGGUAAGGUAACGGCUUACCAAGGCAACGAUGCGUAGCCGACCUGAGAGGAUGAUCGGCCACACUGGAACUGAGACACGGUCCAGACUCCUACGGGAGGCAGCAGUAGGGAAUCUUCCGCAAUGGGCGAAAGCCUGACGGAGCAACGCCGCGUGAGUGAUGAAGGUCUUCGGAUCGUAAAACUCUGUUAUUAGGGAAGAACAAAUGUGUAAGUAACUAUGCACGUCUUGACGGUACCUAAUCAGAAAGCCACGGCUAACUACGUG
RNAcentral lists this ribosomal RNA (497 nucleotides) under uncultured bacterium. RNAcentral's name for it is "partial 16S ribosomal RNA". It matches the Rfam family "Bacterial small subunit ribosomal RNA", at positions 28 to 507 of the family's 1533-position model. The record is from RNAcentral.